UUACCUGUUACGACCACCCCAGUCAUGAAUUUACCGUAGGCACGCCUCUCCCACGGCCAGCUAACUACUCUGGUGUGUUCCAAUCCCAUGGUGUGAGGGGCGGCGUAGCAGACUGCAAUCAGAUUCACCGCGACAGAUUUCAUGACCCUGAUCUCUCACGAGUAGUCGAGUUGCAGACUGCGAUCUGGACUACGAUCAAUUUCUUGGGAUUGGCACCGGGUUGGGCGACCUCUGUCCUGACCAUUGCAUGACGCCCUGCUCCAUAAGGGCCAUGACUCCUGAUGUCAUCCCCGCCUUCCUCCGGUUUGUCACCGGCAGCCUCAUUAUUCGUAGCAACUAAUGACAAGGUUGUUGCGGGAUCCUUAACCUGGGACAUCCACGACACGAGCUGACGAUUACCAUGCGGCACCCAAAUUCCGCUGGGAUUCCAGACAUGGCGCUGUAUCGACACCGUCCCCGUCACUCCCUGGAGUCCAGACAGCCACGCAGCUGCGCCACCAAGGCCCGAAGGCCCCAACAGCUAGAGUGUGUCAGAGGGAGGUGGAAUUCCGCGUGUAGCAGUGAAAUGCGUAGAUAUGCGGAGGAACACCGAUGGCGAAGGCAGCCUCCUGGGAUAACACUGACGCUCAUGCACGAAAGCGUGGGGAGCAAAACAGGAUUAGAUACUCCGGUAGUCCACGCCCUAAACGAUGUCAACUAGCUGUUGGGGCCUUCGGGCCUCGGUAGCGCAGCUAACGCGUGAAGUUGACCGCCUGGGGAGUACGGUCGUAAGAUUAAAACUCAAAGGAAUUGACGGGGACCCGCACAAGCGGUGGAUGAUGUGGAUUAAUUCGAUACAACGCGAAAACCUUACCUACCCUUGACAUGUCUGGAAUCCCGAAGAGAUUUGGGAGUGCUCGCAAGAGAACCGGAACACAGGUGCUGCAUGGCUGUCGUCAGCUCGUGUCGUGAGAUGUUGGGUUAAGUCCCGCAACGAGCGCAACCCUUGUCAUUAGUUGCUACGAAAGGGCACUCUAAUGAGACUGCCGGUGACAAACCGGAGGAAGGUGGGAUGACGUCAAGUCCUCAUGGCCUUGCGGGUAGGGCUUCACACGUCAUGGCCAAUGGUCGGGACAGAGGGUCGCCAACCCGCGAGUGGGGAGCCAAUCCCAGAAACCUGAUCGUAGUCCGGAUCGCAGUCUGCAACUCGACUGCGUGAAGUCGGAAUCGCUAGUAAUCGCGGAUCAGCAUGUCGCGGUGAAUACGUUCCCGGGUCUUGUACACACCGCCCGUCACACCAUGGGAGUGGGUUUUACCAGAAGUAGUUAGCCUAACCGUAAGGAGGGCGAUUACCACGGUAGGAUUCAUGACUGGGGUGAAGUCGUAACAAGGUAG
This 1374-nucleotide unclassified non-coding RNA is filed under the name uncultured Bordetella sp. RNAcentral describes it as "partial 16S-23S ribosomal RNA intergenic spacer". The stretch from base 339 to 1374 matches the Rfam family "Bacterial small subunit ribosomal RNA". Lineage: Bacteria; Pseudomonadati; Pseudomonadota; Betaproteobacteria; Burkholderiales; Alcaligenaceae. The record is from RNAcentral.